UCUCUGAUUCAGCGGCGGACGGGUGAGUAAUGCCUAGGAAUCUGCCUGGUAGUGGGGGACAACGUCUCGAAAGGGACGCUAAUACCGCAUACGUCCUACGGGAGAAAGCAGGGGACCUUCGGGCCUUGCGCUAUCAGAUGAGCCUAGGUCGGAUUAGCUAGUUGGUGAGGUAAUGGCUCACCAAGGCGACGAUCCGUAACUGGUCUGAGAGGAUGAUCAGUCACACUGGAACUGAGACACGGUCCAG
RNAcentral lists this ribosomal RNA (247 nucleotides) under uncultured bacterium. RNAcentral describes it as "partial 16S ribosomal RNA". It matches the Rfam family "Bacterial small subunit ribosomal RNA", at positions 84 to 334 of the family's 1533-position model. The record is from RNAcentral.